This is a long non-coding RNA of Medicago truncatula (barrel medic), 1263 nucleotides long. RefSeq lists it as uncharacterized. NCBI's taxonomy places the organism in Eukaryota, Viridiplantae, Streptophyta, Magnoliopsida, Fabales, Fabaceae. The transcript is spliced from 2 exons. The record is from RefSeq and is a predicted model, not a curated record.
UCCUGCAUAAUUAUUUGAAUAGGGAGAAAUUACCAGGAAAGCUAUUACAAGAGAGAGAGAAAAAUGUGAUAAAAGAGAAACAACCAAUAUGAAGGAACAAACAUGUAUUACAAGAGAGAGAAAAUGUGAUAAAAGAGAAACAGCAAAUAUGAAGGAACAGUUGGAAGCCCUCAUAAGCAAGACAACAACAUCACAAAUUUUUCCAUACAAUAAAAGAUGCAAACAUAUUUGCUUUAAUUAUGUUUGGAUUAAAGUUUGCUAACUUAAAUUAACUAUAUUUUGCAAACAUUAUAGAAAUUGUUUUAACUAACUUUUGAAGCAGAAAUUGCAAUGAUAAAGUUAUUGUUCAAACAUUAGUUUGGAGGUCUUCAAUUCAAACACAGUAUGUCUAUGAACAAAGACAUGAAAUUUUACCUGCAAAUACAUACUGCAUCAAAAUACCAGCCUUUUCAAAUUCAACCAGUCAUGUGAGUAAUCUUGACACUCCACAGUGAAAUGGUAAUGAUGCUUCAAACAAAGCUUUAUCUUCACACUAUAAUCGGAGUACUAAAGGUAAAGAUAAUGAGACAUCAAUCAGAAAAAGACACGUAGUUGAACUACAGAAAUGCAAAGAGAUAGUACAUAUUCAAACAUUAAAAAAUAGACCAAGUGUUUAAACACUUCAACAGUAUAAAAAGCUAUUAGUGAUUUUUUUUUUUUUUAUUGAGCAGUGCUUAUAUGUUAUAUUCAAGUUGAUGAUUUACAUUUUGAGCAUCUUGAAGCAACCCGCAACCCCCACCAGCAAAACAUUUUAUAACUACAAAAUUCAAUCUAUCUAACCACAUCUUGAUCUUAUCUUAAUCUUAAUAAUAUAAAUCCAAAGAAAUGUUGCAAGCAAACCGUGAAAAACCCCUAGGGUUGCUCAUAGUUUUUUUUACUUAAAUGCCCUCAUAUGGGCGCCAAAGUGCAGAGGAUUUGUGGCAUUUCUACUAAUGAUGAUAUACAACAAUCAAGCAUAUCAUAUGUUUGAUAGUUUCAAGAGAAGAGAGGCUGCAUACAAUCAUUGGCUCACGUGUCUCAAUGCAAACCUUAUGAUGCAUUCUUAACCAACUAUUUGUAUAUGAACAAAGACAUGAAAUGUUACUUGCAACUUUGGACAAAAUGCAUCAAGGAAACUAAAGAUAUAGAGAGAUGUAUUAUUACCACUUUCAGUGAUGUAAAUAGAAGGAAUAUUGUACUCUUUCUUGAAGUAUAACAUAAGGUCACGAAUUCCUCUUGGACAAA